AGAUUGAACGCUGGCGGCAUGCCUUACACAUGCAAGUCGAACGGCAGCACGGGAGCAAUCCUGGUGGCGAGUGGCGAACGGGUGAGUAAUACAUCGGAACGUGCCCAAUCGUGGGGGAUAACGCAGCGAAAGCUGUGCUAAUACCGCAUAAGAUCUACGGAUGAAAGCAGGGGGAUCGCAAGACCUUGCGCGAAUGGACGCGGCCGAUGGCAGAUUAGGUAGUUGGUAGAGGUAAAGGCUCACCAAGCCUUCGAUCUGUAGCUGGUCUGAGAGACGACCAGCCACACUGGGACUGAGACACGGGCCAGACUCCUACGGGAGGCAGCAGUGGGAAUUUUGGACAAUGGGACGAAGCCUGAUCAGCA
Molecule: ribosomal RNA, 365 nt
Filed under: uncultured soil bacterium
Lineage: Bacteria
Description: bacterial SSU rRNA
Rfam family: Bacterial small subunit ribosomal RNA
Source: RNAcentral